GUAUUUUGACCGUGCAAAGGUAGCGCAAUCACUUGUCUUUUAAAUUGAAGACCUGUAUGAAUGGUGGAACGAGGGCUUAACUGUCUCCCCCUUCUAGUCAAUGAAAUUGAUCUACCCGUGCAGAAGCGGGUAUAAUAAUACAAGACGAGAAGACCCUUUGGAGCUUAAGACAAAAGACCAACUAUGUCAAAAGUCUUAAAAAAGACUAAACCAAAUAGUAUUGGUCCUAAUCUUCGGUUGGGGUGACCACGGGAGAAAACAAAGCUCCCAUGCGGAUUGGGACAUUCCCUAAAACUAAGAGAGACAUCUCUAAGACACAGAACAUCUGACCAUAAAGAUCCGGCUACAUGCCGACCAACGGACCAAGUUACCCUAGGGAUAACAGCGCAAUCCCCUUCCAGAGUCCAUAUCGACAAGGGGGUUUACGACCUCGAUUUUGGAUCAGGACAUCCU
Molecule: ribosomal RNA, 453 nt
Filed under: Pterygoplichthys gibbiceps (leopard pleco)
Lineage: Eukaryota; Metazoa; Chordata; Actinopteri; Siluriformes; Loricariidae
Description: partial 16S ribosomal RNA
Rfam family: Bacterial large subunit ribosomal RNA
Source: RNAcentral